Molecule: ribosomal RNA, 484 nt
Filed under: uncultured bacterium
Lineage: Bacteria
Description: partial 16S ribosomal RNA
Rfam family: Bacterial small subunit ribosomal RNA
Source: RNAcentral
AUUGAACGCUGGCGGCAGGCCUAACACAUGCAAGUCGAGCGGAUGAAGGGUGUUUUCUUCUUGAUUCAGCGGCGGACGGGCGUGUAAUGCCUGGGAAUUUUCCUUCUAGUGGGGGAGAACUUCCGGAAACGGGCGCUAAUACCGCACACGUCCCGAGGGAGUAAGUGAGGGUGCCUGGGUGCCCGCGCUAUUAGUUGACCCUCGUUGGGAUUAGCUAGUUGGGGGGGUAAAGGCGUACCAAGGCGAAGAUCCGUAACUGGUCUGAGAGGGUGACCAGUCACUCUAGAACUGAGACACGGGCCAGGCCCCUACGGGAGGCAGCAGCGGGGGAUGUUGGAGCAUGGGCGAAAGCCUGAACGAGGCCUGCCGCGCGUGUGAAGAAGGUCUUCGGAGUGUAAAGCACUUUAAGUUGGGAGGAAGGGAAGUGAGUGAAUCCCUUGCUGUUUUGCCGUUCCCUAUAGAAUAAGCCCCGGCUCACUUCGUG